RNAcentral lists this ribosomal RNA (497 nucleotides) under uncultured bacterium. RNAcentral describes it as "partial 16S ribosomal RNA". It matches the Rfam family "Bacterial small subunit ribosomal RNA", at positions 29 to 523 of the family's 1533-position model. The record is from RNAcentral.
UUGAACGCUGGCGGCAGGCCUAACACAUGCAAGUCGAGCGGCAGCGCGGGGCAACCUGGCGGCGAGCGGCGGACGGGUGAGUAACGCGUAGGAAUCUACCCAGUAGCGGGGGAUAGCCCGGGGAAACUCGGAUUAAUACCGCAUACGCCCUAAGGGGGAAAGCAGGGGAUCUUCGGACCUUGCACUAUUGGCAGAGCCUGCGUUGGAUUAGCUAGUUGGUAGGGUAAAGGCCUACCAAGGCAACGAUCCAUAACUGGUCUGAGAGGAUGAUCAGUAACGCCGGAACUGAGACACGGUCCGGACUCCAACGGGAGGCAGCAGUGGGGAAUAUUGGACAAGGGGGGCAACCCUGAUCCAGCCAUGCCGCGUGUGUGAAGAAGGCCUUCGGGUUGUAAAGCACUUUAAGUGGGGAGAAAGGUUCGGCAGUUAAUACCUGCCGGAAGUGAUGUUACCCACAGAAUAAGCACCGGCUAACUCUGUGCCAGCCGCCGCGGUAA